Molecule: long non-coding RNA, 8331 nt
Filed under: Sus scrofa (pig)
Lineage: Eukaryota; Metazoa; Chordata; Mammalia; Artiodactyla; Suidae
Description: lncRNA (ENSSSCG00035052871.1)
Source: RNAcentral
GGGCGGGGGGCGGUCUCGCAGCCGGGACCGGCCCCGCAGGGAAAGGGGCGGCGGCGAUGACCGCAGGCGGGAGCUUGAAGGGGACCGCGCGAGGAGAGCCCCUUUCUGUCCUGGUGAGUUAUUUUGAUAUUUAGGGUAAAAAGAAAAUCCCUUCCAGGUUCUCCAACUGCGGAGCUUUUUAAUCUCUUUCCGGUGAGGUGGAAACUCAUCUUCGUGGUUGAAUUUAAAAGAACAAUGGAACCCUGACUGCGUUUAAACAAAAAUAAAACUUGUUUUUUUUUUUUUUUUUUUUUUGGGGGUUGGCUUUUAACUCUUUCAAAGCCGAUUUUGAAAUCGGCUGCAGUGUUAGAGAUGCGAAGGUACUUGCUGCUUGUUAAAAACCUUUAUGACGUUAAGAUUGUCUUUUAAAAAAUGCAAGUUGGGGCAGUGCUUCUGGUGUCUCAAAAAUUACGGAGACAAGUUUACUGUGUCGUCAAGGCUGUUAAAUGGAAAUAGAUUUUAAUUAUGGUGCUAAGACGAUGACGUUUAACGUAGUUUAUUUUACUGAGUAUUUACGGCAAAAUUAUUUGACAUUCUGGUGUUUGAAUAACGAUUAAAUGCACUGUUUGGCACUUUUUAAAAGGUCAUAGGAGCCGUUAUCUGUAACUUAUCACCUGAAUGUUAGAACGUACUUGGGUCAGUUCCUAGACUUUUAAAAGUUUAAAUACAUUUUAUUAUUAAAAAAAAUGUAUAUUAUCACAAGCCAUGGCCGACAAAACUUUUACAAAAGGAUAUUUUGACAACAAAUUUCUUUGUGAAGUUACUUUCUCCUAGUGUAAAUAUUAAAGUAGGACUGCUCGGUAAUGGGCGAUGAAGAGGAGCCAUAUUUGUUGCAUUUGUUGCAUGCAUAAAAAUCUAGAUAUGCUUAAAACGGAACAGUAUUUUAAUGUUGUAUUUUGGUUUUUAAAAAUUUUACAGAGUGCUCUAUGUAAUCUAUUAAUCUAAAAAAUUGAGAGGGAAUUUAAAUUUAGUGUUUGAACACAGGCCACAAAUGCAUAAACCUUUGUGUAUUUUAGAAUAUAUUUGUCUUUAUUCUGCGGUAGCUCUUGUUUUGUAGAGGUGCAGAUCUACGUAAAAAUUGUGUUGGGCAGAUUUUCGUAGUAUUUAUAAAAUUGAAGCUACUGGUGUAAUGGACUAGGUUUCUGAGGGUAUUUUUGUCAGUGAAAUUGUUUUAUUUUUGAAUAGCAUUCAUAUAGUGUUACAUGUUAAAUCAGUUGCGCAUAUCUUGAUUUUACAGGCUCUGUUGUUUUAAGUAAUAAUUUGUGGUUUUGCAAGUCAACAUUUUUGAAAUUUUUAAAUGCUUCAAGUAGUUUUAAAUUAAUAUUCUGAAUCUAGUUUUUCAGAAUCCUCUUGAAUAGCAAAAUGCAAAAUAAUUACUGGCAGUUUAACCUCAUAAAUUUUUUUUUACGUGAGAAAAGGGGGAAGGGAGAGACUGAAUGUGGUCUAGACCCUAGUUUGAAAUUGAAUAAAGGUCAUAGAUACUACAUGUUUUAGAUUUGCGUUAAAGACAAAGCUAAUAUCUCACUUGGUGAGAUCAAAUAACUGUGGUUUAAAAAUUUAAAGUAACCAGUGGCCAUUUUAACUUCACUAAAUUCUCCUGGAGGAGUUAAUUUUUAAUCACUCAUAAUUGUAAAAUGUAUUUCUAGAUGGUAAAGGAAAUUUUAGAAUGAUUAAGAUGAUUUCAGUCUUUAAAAAUGGUAAACUUUUCCUUUGUUUUUGAGCAUUGCUUGUCAUCAAAAGAAAAAUAAAAAUGAAAACAAGGUCAUAAUCUUAAAUCUGUCCAAAGAUAGGAAUUUUUUUCUCUUUUUAAUCUUAGUACCUUAAUCUCUAGUGAUUGUCCAUGCAACCAAAAGAUGGGGAAAACAGAGACUGAUAGAUACAAAGAUAAGAAAUAACUGCUAUCUUAAAUGUACAGGUAGUGUGUUAAUGAGCUAUCUCUUGAAUUUGUCCAUUGAUCGUGUCUCAGAAAUAUUUUCUCAUUGUUUCAUCACACUGAAACUUUGGCCAAGAAAUGUUUAAAAUUCAAAGCAUUGAUAUCAAUUUCCCCCCCCUUUUUUUUUAAAGGCAACUUACAAGAUUAAAAUUAAAUUUGGUUGAUGAUGGUUCUGGACAAAUACAGCUCUUUUAUUUGAGGUAUGCCAUUUUGAAGACAGACCCGUGGAAUUUUAUCCUUGAGGAUAGGGGAAAUCUUUGUGAAAGUCUGUAUUUUAUAAAGCAAGUAAGUAAAUAUUUUUACCCAAUGUCUGAAAUUUAAUAGUUACCAACAUUUGAGAAAGAAUAUAUCACUAAAGGUUGUCAGUGCAACAUAAAUUGUAUACUCAUUAUCUUGAGAAAGGGAUGAGAAAAAGCCCAUCAAAUUCUUUACCUUACAUCAAAGCAGUUUUGUGUUAAAACAUUAAAACAGUUGAUACAUGUAAUUUGUAACAGAGCGAUGAGACAUUUGAUGUUUUUCAAUCAAAUGGUGCUUUAGGGUUAUGGUUAAAUCAAUAGUUGAGUCAUCAGAAUUAUGUAUCUUUACAAUCUGAAAUGUACAUUCUGUAGACAUUUUUUUGUGAUGCAGAUUACAAAUGACCUAGAAUUUUGUAGUUGCAGCUCUUAUGAUUCUAAGGAACUAUAUUUCAAAAGCUAAAUACACUUUCAUAUUCUAGUUAUUAUGUAGUGAAUUUAAAAUUCUGAUUUUUUUUCUGUUUUUAUGAGUUCGCUUUCAAAUAGGCACAAAAAUAAGUAAGUUAUCUGAUAGGAAACUAGAAUAAUACGGCUGAGGAGACCUUGAAAAAUGUAGCUUAGUCUUUUUAAAGCAUAAGAAGGAAGAAAUAAUUUCAACAUAUGUGUGAUGUUUUGACAUCUUAAAGCUAGACAUAUGAAUGAAAAAAUAUGUACAAUGAAAAUUUUCAGGAAUUAUUUCCUACUCUUAAGUUAACACUAAAUGUGGAAAUAAAUGCCAAGCCAAUAUUAGCAAGGGAUUUACCAGAGGAAAUAUGUAAUAUAAUGAGAUAUCUUGGGAAAUUUUAAGAAUAGCCAAAUAACCAACUAGUUAACAUGAGGGCAGGUUUACCUUUGUCCUUGUAAUUUUUGUGGAAUAUCUUUUAUCUGUUGUUGUUGACUUAUUCUGUUGAUACAAAUAGGUGAUAAAAAGUAUUAUUUUUUUUACCUUUGCUUUAGCUUAAUUUUUGCCUUUCAAUCCUUUUGCAAUUUGACCAAAUUUGUGUUUAUUAUAGUGUGCAAAAGGAAACCAAAUGUUAGACCUUUAUACUUUUAAAAGAUGUAGCAUAUAUAGAAAAGUCAGUAUCUUUCAUCCUAAGUUUCUUUAAUACAAAUAUCAAGUUUAGGGUUUUCUCUGUGUAAAUGAUUGGAUAUUGGAUUGGCAUUCAGAUGUGGUUAGGCAUUGCUAUAAAAAUUGAGAAUUGAGCCUCUUAAGACACAAAUAUAUUUGAAGUUUAAUGUAAAUUUAAGCAUAAAUUGACAGUAAAUUUAUAAUCGCCUACCAGAGGUAUAAUUUGACCCAUAAAAAAAGAAUAAAGAAGAUUAGAAACAUUAAAUGAAGAUUAUCCUUUUUAGUCUAGUAUUAGUAAUUAUAAAAAUAACAAAUGAUACGGUAAGUUCUACAUUAAUGUAAUAGAAUACAGCUUUCUUUUUAUUAUCAACAAGGCAAAAGUAAUAAAUUACAUUUUAAAAAGAUCUGCAUGGACUUCUGAGCCAAGCUUGUAAAAUUUGCAGUGUUUUUGAUGUAUAAAAAUAGUGGAUUCAUGAGAAUAAAAUGAAGAUACUACUUUAAAUUACUAUAUUUCAUAAAUAAUUUACUUUGCUACCAUUUUCUGCUUAAGAGCCAGAGUGAUAAAUGCUUAAAUAUUUGUUUUUAUUUUAGCAUUUUGAAUCUUGAACCAGAAAAAUCACCUGAUCAAGUUGGUGAUUGGGUUGCAUUGCAUUUGUUAGUUAUAGUAAUAACUGUUUAAAAAAUUACCCGAAGUUCCACAGAAAUGAAAGAAACCAUGCCUGUAGUUAAUACAAGGUUGUUAUGAACUAUACAUGUCACUAAGAGGCUAGAUUAUAUGAAAUUAAUCUUGGAAGGCCGUUAGGCUUACCAUUAUACCAUCAACGUACACUGAAAUAGGUAAUUUUGUAUACAAAUUUUCUUUUAAGUUUAGUUUACUAUUACCCGAAGUUUCUUAUUUAAAAAUUUGGACUGUGGACAGCCAAUUAAUUUACCUUUUCUAUGAGAUUUAUACUUUUUUGAGAGGCUUAGGGGGAAAAAGAUAAUUUGAGGACCUCUCCAUCUCUUGCAUUGAUGAGAGGUGUGUGAUAGAGCAGAAAGUAUAACUCUGAUGCAGCAGUCAGGAGAGCUGGCUUCUAACCUAAAUUACCCUUGUGAUUUUGACGUUUUAUUCAUUGUGGCCCUUCUCUUAAUUUGUUUAAAGUAUUUGAAAUAUUCAAUUUCUUAUGAUACCUUUUUGGUCUCAAAUUGUGUGGUAAAAAUAAUAGAAUGUCUUGAUUCUCUUAAACUGCCUAAGUAUUUUUGUAGUUUUUGAAUUGCAAAUCAUGGUUGUUAUUUCUGUGGUGAAGUUAAUUUGAAUAACAAGACCUGGGUGAUAAUGUACCCAGCUUUCCUAAUUUUAGGCAUUCCAUAAUAUUAAUAAAUAGUAUAAAGCAGACAUAAUGGAAAGUUAAUCUUAAAAAGCAGUUAAGGUGUGAAAUUGUCUUUAAAAAACAAAGAUUUAGAAGGCUACAAUAAAAACAUUGUUUGAAUUUUUGCCUAGUUAUUUUAUUAAAUAAUUUAAAGAUUAGUGUAUUUAAGGUAAUUUGCACCUGACCAUCUGAUUAUAAAUGGUGAUUUAUAAUUUACAUGCUUGACAUAAUCUUUUUAAGAAGUUUCUAUUCUUCAAUGAUAAAUAUACCUCAUUUACCUUUUCCCUUACAGAUCGAGUGGCUCAAAACAGACAGUUUUCAUAUUGGCUGUUAGUGCUGAAUAUAGAUAAUUUUUAAAAUUUAAAUUCAAGGAUACUCUCAACUUUCUAAAGCAAAAACUGACUUGAUUUACGUAACAUUCAAGUAGCAUGUUUCUUACCGUUUGAUAAAGUUUUAUACAUUGUAUAAAGCUAGAUCCCUGUUUUAAAAGAUAGUUCUUUGUUUUUUGAAACUAUUCCAUUUAUUUGAAAUUGAAUAUUUCCUAAGCAAGCAAUUAUAUCCUUAAUGUGAUAGAGUCAUUUCAAUUUAGGUUAUUAAGCUAGAUAUUUUGCUUAACAUUAAUGGUUUGUGAGUUGUGAUGUUUUCUUAUAUAACUGUUAAUGAAUUUAUCACUACCUUAUUUUUGUGGAAGAUUUCUUAUAUUUCACAGUACUCUCAGGUUUAAUUCUUAAUUUAAAUGUAAAAAUUGUUUUAGGGACUUUAAAAGGUGACAAAAUCAGGAGUUCCCAUCGUGGUGCAGCAGAAACAAUCCAGCUAGGAACCAAGAGGUUUUGGGUUCGGAUCCCUGCUCUGUGGGUUAAGGAUCUGGCAUUACCAUGAGCUGUGGUGUAGGUUGCAGAUGUUCAGACUUGGCGUUGCUGUGGCUGCUGUGGCAUAGGCUGGCAGCUUGGAUUGGAUCCCUAGCCUGGGAACCUCCAUAUGCUGUGGGUGCAGCCCCCCCCCAAAAAAAGGUGACAAAAUAAAAUAUUCUUAGAUGCACAAAUGGGCUAGUAAUGGUAGGACUUGAUUCAGGCCAUCUUGUCUUUUAUUAUGACAAGCAAUCAAAAUUGUUAUUUGCAUUAUAGCUAUAAUUUCAUACUAAAUGAGGAUCUUUGAUACUGCAAAAUAUUAAAAAUAGGUAGGCAUGUGAGCAAAAUUAUCAACUUUGAUAGUUUGCUUAAUGUGAACUUGGUUUACCUCCCCCUUAAAAGGAGGGCUGAGUGGGCCGAGUACUGCUUUGUCAGUGUUUGGAAAGGAAAUUGUAUGGCAGGUUAAAUGGGUGUCAGUAAUCUUUGUGGUGGUACAAGAUGUGACCCAGGUCAUCUUCUGUUUUUGGUGGACUGAGCACCUUGAGCCCUAAUACUUGUACUGGUAGGUAGCCUUUUUUUCCUUUUUUUCUUUUUUUUAAAUUAGAGUACAGUUGAUUUACAAGUAGGUGGCUUUUUUGUAAGCAGGUUCUCAGACUGAUGUGAUAGAUUUCCCUCAGACUUUGCUUUCACCCAACAUUCCUUAGGUCAUUUCCACCCUUCUCUUGGGGUUUAUAUCAAUUUAUUUUACUUGGCUGAUUUAGAAUUUGUCUUUGUUCACAAACUUUUCUUUAUAAAGUCAGAUUAAAUUUGGAAGUUUAAGAAUAAAUAAUGCUGUGUUUCUUGUAAAUUGUUUCAUUUAUUAACUUCUUGGGAGGAUAUUUUAGCAUGUUGCUCUUAAAAGUAAUUUUGAAGCAGAUCUUUGCAAUAUUUCUUGGUUGUGAUUAGUCAAAAUGAUUAAAGGGAUUUAGAUUUGGUAAGAUAAUCAGGAAGUUGGCUUUAAAAUUUGAAAAUUGGAAACCUUAGUCAUGGAAAAGCAUUUGGGUAAGCAUAGUUUUAGAUUAAGUCCUAAACUUUGGCUUUCUAAAAAUCCUCACAUUGCUACACUUAAAUAGUGAACUUUUAAACAAAGCUUUUUGGGUAGUUCUAGCUAUUGUGAUUAUUAUGAUCAACUUAGGAGCAGGAGAGACUGAAAAAAGUGUAUACCUAUGUUCUCAAAAAUGUAUUUGAGAUGUAGGAAACAUCUUUCACAUGAGGUAUUUCAGUCUAACUAGUGAACUAACUAGUGAAGACUAUGGAUGUAUCCUGAUCAAGCAAAUAUUUUUAGGAAGGGUUAGUGUUGAGUAGGUCAUUGUAAGUAGUAGUACAAAAAGCUUGACAUUUUAAGAUUUCGAUCCUAGAACAGUGUUGAUUAGAGUACAUGAUAAUGUGAAAUAAUAUGGUAAUAUUAAGGAGUGAGUAAUACGGCCUUGCCAGGUUGGUAAUGGAAGUUUUCCUUUAGAAGUCUUAAAAGUAGAUUAGAUGAAAGACUAGAAAAUAAAGUAAUUCUGUGCUGUUAAGGAGUGAUAUUGGCUUUUAUAUUAAUCAGCUACCUCUCAGCUGCCCAUUAGAUCUACCUAAAGAGCCCAGACUUUACUAGGGAGUUCUUGGAGCAUGAGAAAUGUUUUUACUCUACAGGUGAGCCUUCUGAACAGUCAAAUUUAAGAUCCUCUGGAUUAGAACUUUGUUGUUUUGUUUUGUUUUGUUUUGUUUUGUUUUGGAUUAGAACUUUUGGCUACAUUUAUAAAUGCACAUAUGUCUUGGUCUUUCGGAGAGUGAUCCUGAUAAGGUGUUGAAAUUUCCAAAUCUAUUUUUGUCUUUUUUGUAUGUGUACAAUUAUAUUCUUUUUGUUUUCUGCAGCAAUAUGAAUCCUGAGGCUGAAUUGUCUAAGGGGCCUGUACAGCGAAAUAGAUGUAAGUUUUACUCAAUUUACAUUUUUAAUUUGUUUUUUACUUUUACAUGUGACUUUGGAAAUUCUGAGUAAUUGAGUCAGAGUCUCUAAAAAUGUAGAAGAAUUUAGUGAAGUUCCAAGCAGUACAGAUAUAAAUCAACAUAGAUGUAUGUGGCUUAUUAUUAAAAUUUUGGUUAUUAUUCCAACCUCUUUUCCUUUCUUUACUUAAAGAGAGGUAUAAAUGGAUGGAAGGAAACUCACAUUUGAACAUUCUUCUAAUACUGCACCCUAGCUGUUGGUAAGCUCCCCAUUUUUAUAAAUAAAGUUUUAUUGGAACACAGCUAAGCUCUUUCAUUUACAUAUUAGCUGUGUCUGCUUUCUGACUACAGCUGCAGAGAGUAGAUUUAGCUAAUGGCCACAAACCCUAACAUAUUUAGUUAUUUAGUAUUUUAACCUGUAAGGAAAUCUUGCCUAUCCUUUCCCUAGAUUCAUCCUUUUUGUCAACUUUAUGUAGAACUCAAAAGCACUUGGAUUCUCUUAAUAAUGGGGGUGUACCUUUUACUUUGUUAGUAUUUCAUUGUUAGAAUUCAAAUAACAUAAGUAAUCAUGAGCUUGGCUUAAACUCCAAAGCCCAACAAAGGUUCUUUCACACCAGCAUUAUGCUUUAAUAUUAGAAGAUUUGGGGAGUUCCCGGUGUGGCACAGUGGAAAUGAAUCAACUAGUAUAGUAUCCAUGAGGAUUUGGGUUCUAUCCCCGGCCUCACUCAGUGGAUUAAGGAUUUGGAGUUGCUGUGAGCUGUGGUGUAGGCCAGCAGCUGCAGCUCUGAUUCGACCCCUAGUCUAGGAACUUCCUUAUGACACAGGUAUGGCCCCAAAAAGCAAAAAAAAAAAAAAA